This 253-nucleotide ribosomal RNA is filed under the name uncultured bacterium. RNAcentral's name for it is "partial 16S ribosomal RNA". It matches the Rfam family "Bacterial small subunit ribosomal RNA", at positions 524 to 776 of the family's 1533-position model. The record is from RNAcentral.
UACGUAGGGGGCAAGCGUUGUCCGGAAUCAUUGGGCGUAAAGAGCGUGUAGGCGGUCUGUCGCGUCUGCUGUGAAAAUCCGGGGCUCAACCCCGGACUUGCAGUGGGUACGGGCAGACUAGAGUGUGGUAGGGGAGACUGGAAUUCCUGGUGUAGCGGUGAAAUGCGCAGAUAUCAGGAGGAACACCGAUGGCGAAGGCAGGUCGCUGGGCCACUACUGACGCUGAGAAGCGAAAGCAUGGGGAGCGAACAGG